This 214-nucleotide long non-coding RNA is filed under the name Elaeis guineensis (African oil palm). RNAcentral describes it as "long non-coding RNA (EGUI_LNC000768)". Lineage: Eukaryota; Viridiplantae; Streptophyta; Magnoliopsida; Arecales; Arecaceae. The record is from RNAcentral.
CCCACUAUUUAGCAACCAGAUGCAAUGAUUGAAUCUUGGAUGAUGAUGCAUCACAUGGCACAAGGCUUGAGUUGUAUCUUUCUCCCAAAAAAAAAAAAAUUAUUUUCCUUUGCACGAUACCAUUGUUGGAUCACCUAGCUCAUGGAUCUCAAAAGCACCUCAGACUCUCCCGUUCAUCUGUUGGCAUAGACCUCAGAGCAUUAGCUGAUGAUCC